UACAGAGGUCCCGAGCGUUGUUCGGAUUUACUGGGCGUAAAGGGCGCGUAGGCGGCAUGACAAGUCACUUGUGAAAUCUCCGGGCUUAACUCGGAACGGUCAAGUGAUACUGUCGCGCUAGAGUGCGGAAGGGGCAAUCAGAAUUCUUGGUGUAGCGGUGAAAUGCGUAGAUAUCAAGAGGAAUACCUGAGGUGAAGACGGGUUGCUAGGCCGACACUGACGCUGAAGCGCGAAAGCCAGGGGAGCAAACGGG
This 253-nucleotide ribosomal RNA is filed under the name uncultured bacterium. RNAcentral describes it as "partial 16S ribosomal RNA". It matches the Rfam family "Bacterial small subunit ribosomal RNA", at positions 524 to 776 of the family's 1533-position model. The record is from RNAcentral.